CCUUCCUUUUCCUCCAUUAACCCUCUCACUCUGCGCUCCCAAACAAAAGAGAAUUCGAGAGCGCCAAAAAAUACGUUGCAAAAUUUCACCACUUUCUUUCCGUCUCUCUGUACAAAUUAAACUAAAGUCUUUAAAUUCCUUUCCAUUUAUUGCUAGCACAUUGAUAGUGGUUUCCCCUUUCUUUCAAUCCAUUCUUUUGCCACUCUCCCCACUCUCGUCUCUUCUUCUAUCUUUCCAUUCCAACCCAGUUCCAGUCCUCUCGAUGUAAGAGAGUGAAAAAGAAAGAGAGAAUUCGUUUUUUUUCCUUCUGCUUUUGUUUUUUUUUAAUCGGAUCGGUGGCGGUCUUCGGGCGUUCUGGUGCUUAAAAUAAUCGGAUUGGUCGGAGGCGGAGAUGGCCGCGGUUGCGGAGAACGCGAUCGGCGCCGGCGACCAGUUCGUCCGGCGAACCCCGCCGCCGCCGCCGCCGCAGCAGCAGCAGCAGUGCGCGAGGUCGUCGGAGGCUGAGUACCAGCGCGACGUGCGCGAGCUCGUCGAUCUGCUCUCCAAACUGAACCCCUCUGCCAAAGAGUUCAUUCCCUCCUCCUACGCCUCCGUUGGCCACACCGCCUCCAACGCCGCCGCGGGCCCCGCCGCCGGUGGGAGGAGGCCGAAUGGGCGGCUGUCGGCUGACGCGCCGGUGUUCCUGGCCUCCUCGGAUUACUACGGCAGGGCGAUUGUUGCGGGGAAUCGGGAUGUGGGCAGCGGCGAUGGGCCGUACAACAACCAGCAAACCCACAGAAGAAAGAACAAUUACAGCCAGGGGCGGCGGAGGUUUAAUGAUAGAGUUCAAAGAGCGCAGAAGGAGGACUGCAUCAGGCGCACUGUAUAUGUAGCUGAUAUUGAUCUGCAUGUAACAGAGGAGCAGCUUGCAGCAUUGUUUGGUAGCUGUGGGAAAGUACUUGAUUGUCGUAUUUGUGGUGACCCCCAUUCAUUUCUUCGAUUUGCAUUUAUAGAGUUUGCUAAUGAAUAUGGUGCAAGAGCAGCACUAAAUCUUGGUGGGACAAUGCUAGGUUACUAUCCCGUAAGAGUGCUACCUUCAAAGACUGCCAUUUUGCCAGUGAAUCCUACAUUUCUUCCACAGUCUGAAGAUGAAAGGGAGAUGUGUACAAGGACAGUUUACUGCACAAAUAUUGAUAAAAAGGUUACUCAGUCAGAUCUAAAAGAAUUCUUUGAGUUCCUUUGUGGUGAGGUUUCUCGCUUGAGGCUUCUUGGGGAUAACAUGCAUUCAACCCGCAUAGCAUUUGUUGAGUUUGUUCAGCCUUGCCUUGGAGAAUCAAGCAGAAGUUGGUGAAUCCACUCAGAUUUAGUCAAUGCUAUAUAACAGCAAUGAACACAAUGUGCUGUCCUGAGGCGGAAAGUGCCCUUAAAGCUCUGAGUUGCAGUGGAAGGAUCCUUGGAGCUUUCCCUAUUAGGGUAAGUCCUUCGAAGACUCCUGUCAGGCCUCGUGUUGCUCACACAAUGCAUUAGCUCCAGUUUACUUUAUAUUCAGUCUGAUGGGCCUAUUUUCACUGGAGGAAAUUUGUUGUCUGGAAAGUGCUGAUGAUCAUUUGACUCUGGUUAUUGGCAGAAAACAUUUUUCUGCAACCAAACAUGACCCAUCUUCCAGCCGGCUUUGAUAUUUAAACUUUAAACGUGACCUGUCUUAUGGCUUUACAGCUGUUGUUAUCUGUUUUAUUUGUUAUUUAUUUACAUGGUUAGAAGUGUCAUGUCGACAUCAGUUGUUGGUGAUCCCAGCCAGCAUAGUAUUCUGCAGAAACCUGGAAACUGUGCUGUUUUUCUUUGAUUAAAGAAACUUUUUUGUGUAUUCUAA
This is an RNA transcript of Elaeis guineensis (African oil palm), 1849 nucleotides long. It is a transcript of the gene named polyadenylate-binding protein-interacting protein 9, with no coding region annotated. The record is from RefSeq and is a predicted model, not a curated record. NCBI's taxonomy places the organism in Eukaryota, Viridiplantae, Streptophyta, Magnoliopsida, Arecales, Arecaceae.